RNAcentral lists this ribosomal RNA (488 nucleotides) under Eutropis macularia (bronze grass skink). RNAcentral's name for it is "partial 12S ribosomal RNA". The stretch from base 1 to 425 matches the Rfam family "Bacterial small subunit ribosomal RNA", at positions 913 to 1533 of the family's 1533-position model. The record is from RNAcentral. Lineage: Eukaryota; Metazoa; Chordata; Lepidosauria; Squamata; Scincidae.
GCGGUGCUCCAUAUCGACCUAGAGGAGCCUGUCCUAUAAUCGAUACCCCCCGUUUCACCUUACCAUUUUUAGCAAUUCAGCCUAUAUACCGCCGUCGUCAGCUUACCUCGUGAGAGAUUUAAAGUAGGCAAAACAGUUAUUUACUAACACGUCAGGUCAAGGUGUAGCACACAAAAUGGAAGAGAUGGGCUACAUUUUCUAACCUAGAAAAAACGAACAUUGCAGUGAAAUCUGCCCUUUAAGGAGGAUUUAGCUGUAAGACAGAUAAGAGAAUCUGCCUAAACCCCGCUCUGGAGCGCGCACACACCGCCCGUCACCCUCAUCAAUAUAUCAAACAAACAAAAUAUAACUUCACCUUUCAAUACAGAUGAGGAAAGUCGUAACAUGGUAAGCGCACCGGAAGGCGCGCUUGGAAUAACAAACAGUAGCUUAAAACAAAGCAUUCAGCUUACAAUUGAAACAUGUUAGUGAGACUCUAACCUUUUUGA